Molecule: long non-coding RNA, 470 nt
Organism: Olea europaea var. sylvestris
Lineage: Eukaryota; Viridiplantae; Streptophyta; Magnoliopsida; Lamiales; Oleaceae
Exons: 3
Source: RefSeq, a predicted model, not a curated record
UGUACAAUUAGUCCUUAAUUAUGAAAAUAGGGGAGUGCCCUUUUGAUGGCUAGGAUUGAUGCUAAGAGGUAUCCUAAGCCUGCUUCAAAACUCGGGAUGAAAGGGUACCCCACACUGCUAUUGUUUGUCAAUGGCUCUUUCUCAGCCGUAUACCGGUGGCUAUUUGUCGGACGAAAUUGUGAUUUGGGCAAGGAAGAAGACGGGUGUGCCUGUUAUUACAAUUAACUCAGUCAAUGAGGCAAAUGAGUUCCUGAAGAAGCAUUCUAUCAUUUCUAUGUUUGCAGUUGGGCGUUUUGACAAACUUGUGCUAUGGACCAGAUUAUGAAGAAUUCGUUAAAGCUUCAAAAGCUGAUAAUGAGAUUAAAUUUGUUGAGCAAUCAGUGCAGAGAUAGCUGAAGUCUUAUUCACAGAUAUAAAGUCCACUCAGCUUUUCUUUGGUCUUGUUAAAAGUGAACCAGAGCAGUACAUUG